CGAAUAAAUAAAGGUAGGCUUUGGCCCAAUCUUUUUCAACUCCCGAUUUGCUCCAAUUCCUCCACCUGUCCAAGUAAUAGUAAGUAAAAUGACAAGGGCUUAGGCCCAAUAAUAACAAAAUACGAUUCCGAAUAAAUAAAGGUGGGCUUUUGGCCCAAUCUUUUUUAACUCCCGAUUUGCUCCGCUUUUCUUUCAAUUUCGAGACUUGUUCGUUGAUUUUCAAUGGCCGGUUGAUGAAGGUAGAAUUGGAACUUGAGCCUUUAUGGCUCUCUCGAAAUGCAAGGAAAAGGAGCGAGUUCGUGGCGAACUCGAACAGAUUUCACAUGCGAAAGAAAAGAACUCAAGUAAGGUUCACGAUAGUUCAAAAUGACAAACAAAAUAAAGUACGAUGCUACAUAAUAGUGGUGCAAUCAAAACAUACCACCGUUAAUAUUAAAUUUAGUUAUCCCAAAAUUCAUCUAUUCUGAAUGAUACUAAACAAAGAAAUUUAAUUUCGCAUAAUUCAAAUGAACCAGAAGCUUCACCAACAUAGUCACUCUAACCAUGAAUAUAAUUUCAAGUCAAUGCAUCAACAUUAAUACAAUAAUAAAGAAAGGCCGUCAGAUCAAAUCAAAAUUAAAUAAGAUAAACAAAACUUCUUGGAGGCAAAAACUUAACAACAUUUGACGGCAAAGUGCAG
RNAcentral lists this long non-coding RNA (679 nucleotides) under Solanum tuberosum (potato). RNAcentral describes it as "long non-coding RNA (STUB_LNC007433)". Lineage: Eukaryota; Viridiplantae; Streptophyta; Magnoliopsida; Solanales; Solanaceae. The record is from RNAcentral.